GGUACCCGAGGCCGGGCCGGAGCCGCAGGCCAGCCGCGAUUCCUUCGGGCGAUGCUGGGGGCUUUCCGGUCGGGGCCGCAGCCGCUUCCGGAGCCGCGGGCGAGAUUUUUAGGGCAGUUUUUAGUGUCAUUAUGUUGCUGCUACAUAUUUGGAAGAUGGAACAAGCCCAGACAAAGGAGGAUUCUUUUUUACUCAUCUUAAAUCCAUUUUAUUUUCCUUCAUCUGAGCCCCUUAAAACUAAUGUGUUACUGGAAUGGAUUUUCUUCUGUGUAUUGCUGACACGAACAGGAGACGGAAAUACUGAGUAGAAGAGGGCGGUUCCCUGGCUAAGGCCCCACCCUCAAGCCUGGAUACCCGCGGCCCUAAAUGAGAAGAGGCGUUUCUGUUUGGGGCCCAAAAAGUUGCUUUUUGACCCACCACGCCCCCUAUCCUGCCCCCAUAUAAACCCCAAACCCCAACCUCCAGAGCAUACCAGCAGGUGAGGAGAUACGAGGCAAGCCGACUGACGGCAAAACGACGUAGCAGAGAAAGAGAGAAGAGGAGGGACGUCUGGACACCGAGAGAUGUUUGGCUCGGGGCAGUCAGAGCGGAGUCCAGCCCCUGGGCGGCCCAACUCCAGGGGAAGAUCACCUUCCCACUUCAUCCAUCCCCACCCUUCCAGCUCCCCAUCCAUCCUGCUGAAAGCCAUUUCCACCACUCAAUAAAACCUCGCAUUCAUCCUUCAAGUCCGUGUGUGACCCGAUUUUUCCUGGAUUCUGGAAAAGAGCUCGGAAUACAGAAAGCUGUCCCCUGGUCCUUUGCCCUUGUGAAAAAGCAGAAGGUCCAUUGAGCUGGUUAACACUCCAGCUGUCUGUGGUGGCCAAGCUGAAAGAGCUUUGUAACACUGGGGUUGCAGGCACCCACCUCUAGACGCUACCGCAGAGCCAGAGCCCAAAGCCCUCACCCCGGCCUCUGCACUUGCCCAUCUGCGUGCUCCCCCUCUCGCAAGGGGUUUCUGCAGAGGGGGCUACUGAACAGGUGAGCCACACCCCUGUCGCACGCCCUGCAAGGGGAAUCAGGGAACUCUUCCGUUUCAUUGCUUUGACCACAUCCUAUAAAUCUUGUUCUCCUUGUCUUUCAGCUCCAAUUUGUUUAUACAUUCAGUUUUUACUUUUGACUUUACUCAUGAUUUAUUAUAGAAAGAUGUUUAACAAUUUUCAAGCAAAUGGAAUAAUUUUUGCUCCUCUUUCGUUGUUAAUUUAUUAUUCAUUGGAGUUAGAAAAUUGUUGCUAAAAUAAAUUCUGCAUUUUGAAAUU
Molecule: long non-coding RNA, 1295 nt
Filed under: Homo sapiens (human)
Lineage: Eukaryota; Metazoa; Chordata; Mammalia; Primates; Hominidae
Description: SLC12A2 divergent transcript
Source: RNAcentral